UUUCAGCGGGUUGCUAUUAUUUUCCUGUUGAUUGCGGGCCUAAUCCAAUUAGCAACAACACAAUAGCCGGCUGGCCAAUUUUCAAGCUAGCUUUUUUGCUACCAAAGCAAAAAAAAUGUUCACUGCUGAUUUCAGCGGAAAAUCACUCAUCCCGAAAUUUUUCUCUUUGUAUUAACUUUCUUUCUCUUUGUGUUAACUUUCCGUCUCUCUUACAUAGAUCAAUUGCCACUUUAUAAAAAUAGCUUCUAUUCUCUAGGGUAUCAUUCAAUGGGCUGGAAAGCUAAAAAACUCACUUUAGAACCGCGAAUCUGCCUUUGAUAAAUCACUUAGAAAUUGUUUUCCCUGCAAAAAAGUUGGUGAAAGAAGAGUACUCAAAAAUUUCAUCCCAAUUCAUCGAAAUUCGAUGUUUUCGCGUCAUACAGAUUUAUUGACUUCUUUAUCGUGAGUUCUUUUGACAACUUAUAGGUUCAUUUCCUAUGUUUUUUGAACAUUUCUUAUAAGCAUAUCUUUGCGAUCAGCAUAAAAACAACACAAAAAAACCUCGUAGCAAAAACUUCUCUCAGCUUCACAAAUUGAUCUGAGAAUUUCAUUUUUCCAAAAACAUUACAAUUAUAACUAAUUGGCUAUAAGCAGAUAACAGAAAUUUAAUUCAGUUUUUGGACUUAAUUUUUUGAUUGCUCAUAGGCGGCAACAUUUUAAAUUCAACUCGAAAACCUUUCGGGUUAUUGUCCAAAACUACCCACUUUAAACCGUCCCUUUCAAAGGAACUUUGCAAUUGAACAAAUUGAAUUAAAUGGUUUAUCGACUAGUUUGUUGUUUGUGUUGGCGCAUUUGUAUUUGUGGUGUAUUACUAAAGUUCAAUAGGGGAUAUAACACCUAUCACCACAUAUGAGACUUUUAAGUUCCGUCUACCGCGAUUGCAGAGAAGACAACAUCUACGACGACAGACUAUUUAUCAUUUUUUAAAGGUUCAUCUUGAGAAUCAUAUUUGCAAUUUUUGAUUUCUGCAAACUGUCCGCUUUAAUUUCCUUUAUUAUUAUCAUUUGCAUCGCCUGCGCCAGGACGCUUUACUUUUUCUGCAUUCGUCAUAUUUUCGACCUAUCCGGGAUAAAUUACGCGCCGAUGAAUAUUCAUCAUAAUAAUCACCUACACCUUCGCUCUGUGCGCCAGGGUUAAAAAAGUCUACCAUUUCUUUAUGUCUGAGCCACUUUAUUUGAUGGCUGAUUACUUCAAAGACGCGACUGAAAAUGCCCAAUUUUAAAAGCAGCUUUUAUGAUUUCCAGCAGUUUAUGAUUUCCAGCACUUCAAUAAAGUUCAAUUCUUCGAGAAAGCAUGAUUGUGCCGCAAAUAUCUAAAUUAAAUCUUUUAUCUGAAUGUUAUUUUUCGUUCUUUUAUAAUUAACUUAUUUGUUGAAUUUUGACUGAAUUAAUUAGCUCACUUUCUUUAUUCUUAUUUUGUUAUAUCUUUGCUCAGUUCUGCCCUGGGCUGGAUUUGAUGACAGCUUGAAAUUCAGCGGUGAAUGAACCUCUUCAAAUGAUUUUGAGGAUUUUCUCUCAUUUCAGGGUAAGAAGGAUGGGUUCUAGUUUGCGCUUCCAGGACGGGAUCUAUGCGGCCCUGUUGGCAGUCGGAACAUUCUACCUCAUUUUCUUCGUCUCCAUCGUCCUCCUCAUUUUCCUCAAAUACAUGGGGGAGAGGUGCGUGGGAUCCUCCUCCUCCGGAACCCAACACCACCUGAUGGGGGAGUCCAGGCCGGAGAGACCCAGAGACACAAUACACCAUAUGCAACAU
Long non-coding RNA from Symsagittifera roscoffensis, 1788 nucleotides. RefSeq lists it as uncharacterized. The record is from RefSeq and is a predicted model, not a curated record. The transcript is spliced from 4 exons. Lineage: Eukaryota; Metazoa; Xenacoelomorpha; Acoela; Convolutidae.